UUUCCUACGGGGCGCAGCAGUGAGGAAUAUUGGUCAAUGGCCGGAAGGCUGAACCAGCCAAGCCGCGUGAAGGACGAAGGUGCCAAGCAUUGUAAACUUCUUUUGUCAAGGGACAAAAUCAGGCUCGAGAGCCUGACCGAGGGUACUUGAAGAAAAAGCAUCGGCUAACUACGUGCCAGCAGCCGCGGUAAUACGUAGGUGGCAAGCGUUGUCCGGAUUUACUGGGUGUAAAGGGCGUGUAGCCGGGCUGACAAGUCAGAUGUGAA
RNAcentral lists this ribosomal RNA (266 nucleotides) under uncultured bacterium. RNAcentral's name for it is "partial 16S ribosomal RNA". It matches the Rfam family "Bacterial small subunit ribosomal RNA", at positions 335 to 598 of the family's 1533-position model. The record is from RNAcentral.